CAAAUACAUAAUGCUGUAAGAAAUGUAAUAAUAAUGGAGAAGAAAUCAAAAUCUAUAUGGUUACUUUAAAGAUGUUUUUAAACAAACGAGGGAAAGGUUGGAAUCUAAGAGAGAAAAAGAAAAAAGAAAAGUUUACCAUUCAUAAUCUCAAACAGCAAAUAUAAAUCCUGACGGACAACACUCAGUUCAAGGUAAAUGUAACGUAGCCAUUAAGCUUGAGUAGUCAAUUUUAGAAUGCCCUAUAGGAGGAAUAUAUACUAUAUUCACCUCACUUGUGUGCUUUUUCC
Molecule: long non-coding RNA, 287 nt
Filed under: Canis lupus familiaris (dog)
Lineage: Eukaryota; Metazoa; Chordata; Mammalia; Carnivora; Canidae
Description: lncRNA (ENSCAFG00040006663.1)
Source: RNAcentral